Non-coding RNA from Dipodomys ordii (Ord's kangaroo rat), 60 nucleotides. The record is from Rfam. NCBI's taxonomy places the organism in Eukaryota, Metazoa, Chordata, Mammalia, Rodentia, Heteromyidae.
GUAGCUCAGUGGUAGAGUGCUUGCCUUGCAUGCAUGAGGUCCUGGGUUCGAUUCUUCAGC